UACGUAGGGUGCAAGCGUUAAUCGGAAUUACUGGGCGUAAAGCGUGCGCAGGCGGUUGUGCAAGACAGAUGUGAAAUCCCCGGGCUUAACCUGGGAAUUGCAUUUGUGACUGCAUGGCUGGAAUGCGGCAGAGGGGGAUGGAAUUCCGCGUGUAGCAGUGAAAUGCGUAGAUAUGCGGAGGAACACCGAUGGCGAAGGCAAUCCCCUGGGCCUGCAUUGACGCUCAUGCACGAAAGCGUGGGGAGCGAACAGG
RNAcentral lists this ribosomal RNA (253 nucleotides) under uncultured bacterium. RNAcentral's name for it is "partial 16S ribosomal RNA". It matches the Rfam family "Bacterial small subunit ribosomal RNA", at positions 524 to 776 of the family's 1533-position model. The record is from RNAcentral.